GGUGACCCCGGCCCUGCCGGGGUUUAAACGGGAAGCCGGUGACGCGUCCGGUACGGGCGCCAUGCCGGCGCUGCCCCCGCAACGGUAGGUGGGACAAGUCCGGACAACAGGCCACUGUGCGAUGCACGGGAAGGCGUCCGGACGGGAAGGUGCAUCCUUCCGCCCGCAAGCCCGGAGACCGGCCAGGAA
RNAcentral lists this non-coding RNA (189 nucleotides) under Xanthomonas massiliensis. The record is from RNAcentral. Lineage: Bacteria; Pseudomonadati; Pseudomonadota; Gammaproteobacteria; Lysobacterales; Lysobacteraceae.